RNAcentral lists this long non-coding RNA (1508 nucleotides) under Bos indicus x Bos taurus (hybrid cattle). RNAcentral describes it as "lncRNA (ENSBIXG00000000886.1)". Lineage: Eukaryota; Metazoa; Chordata; Mammalia; Artiodactyla; Bovidae. The record is from RNAcentral.
AAAUGCUGCAGAAGAAUCAGUCCCUGCUGAUGAAAGAUAGGAAACAGGGCAGAGUGGAGAAUAUGAUUGCCCUGACUUACUAGAGGAGCUUUCCUCCAGGCUGGAGUAUUGUCCCUACUGUGAGGUUUGUAGACAUGGAGGGACAGCUUCUCAAAGCAGCUAGUGAAAGCAGAUGCGCGUUCUAGGGCCAGCAUGUGGAAACACUCUGCUUACUCCAUUCCAGCCCUGAAUAAAGGACCUCCAGCCUCCCUGAAUCUACAUGAAAUGCAGGAGACCUGGGUUCAAUCUCUGGUUCAGGAAGAUCCUCUGAAGAAGGGAACAGCAACCCACUCCAGUAUUCUUGCCUGGAAAAUCCCAUGAACAGAGGAGCCUGGCAGAUUGCAGUCCACGGGGUCGCAAAAAGUCAGAAAGGACAGAGCAACUAAUGCGACUUCCACGAGCCUCCUGGAUCAGCUCGGAUCUCUCCAGGGUGCUGAAAACUUCCAGCCUGUUGUUUCCACAGUGACUGAGAUGUUGCAUGAGUCCUGUAGUCACAUCUAUACUGGACUGAAUAUCUCCUCAGUUCUCCUAGUGUGUCUUCACUAGCCAGGAGUGGUCUCCCUUGUCCCUGUGCCGUGUCUACACUGACUGCACCCACUCCCUGCACUGACCCAGGAUUCUGUUUGUUUAUCUUGCUUUACGGAGUUGGUUAGCUCCCUAUUUCCUCUGCUGUUCCUGGUGUCCUGGAGUCUUUGCCUCUGCAGCUGCUCCUGAAAGUCCUGAUCCCUGGGGUCUGAAAGCCCAGGCCUGGGACUGGCCUUGGACUCUGCUCCACGCAGACAUAGCUCUGGAGCAGGGUCUCCAUCACAGCUCUGAGAACAGCUCUGGCUCCAGGCAGAUUCUCAAACAAGGAGAUGUGUCUUUGUGUCUUCUUGAAAUGGAGCAGGACCAUAUGGUCCUUGCCACCCCCACCUCACCCCCCAUGUCUUCUGCCUGCGUUUUGCCUGUGGAAAACUUUAGUCAGAGGAUAAGUUUAAUCAGAGAAAUGAGAAAAGCUGAAACAAAGGAAAACAGUCAGAGAAAACUAAAUAAUAAUAACGUGGUCAUCAAGCAUAGUCAAGGACUUUUAGUUCUUUCUCAAGGGCUAUAGAUGAUAUUCUGAGCAUAUUCUGUGAGCUGUCUUAUAGUUACCAAAACACCAGGUGGGGAAGUUAACUACGUGAUGACCAGAUUGUACCCAGGACAUGAGCUGCCACAAUUCUGAGAAUUGACUGCAAAGGAAUGGGAACAAACGGACCCUGGAAAUGAAGAUUAACUGUUCCUAAAACAAUCAAGAUGGUGCUGGUCAGACCAAUUUGAAGAUGAUUGUUAGAGAUAACUGUGCUGUUUCUGCAUGUACCCUCCCCCCAACUCUGUCUAUAAAAGCUCUCACUGCCUGCUUUUUGGGGUGGAGUUGGCCUUUGGACAGAUGUCUGCCACCCCCACCCCCCAGUUGCCAGCAUCUGAAAUAAAGCAAAUGUUCCUUUCCA